CACUCCUACGGGAGGCAGCAGUGGGGAAUUUUGGACAAUGGGCGAAAGCCUGAUCCAGCCAUGCCGCGUGCAGGAUGAAGGCCUUCGGGUUGUAAACUGCUUUUGUACGGAACGAAACGGCCUUUUCUAAUAAAGAGGGCUAAUGACGGUACCGUAAGAAUAAGCACCGGCUAACUACGUGCCAGCAGCCGCGGUAAUACGUAGGGUGCAAGCGUUAAUCGGAAUUACUGGGCGUAAAGCGUGCGCAGGCGGUUAUGUAAGACAGUUGUGAAAUCCCCGGGCUCAACCUGGGAACUGCAUCUGUGACUGCAUAGCUAGAGUACGGUAGAGGGGGAUGGAAUUCCGCGUGUAGCAGUGAAAUGCGUAGAUAUGCGGAGGAACACCGAUGGCGAAGGCAAUCCCCUGGACCUGUACUGACGCUCAUGCACGAAAGCGUGGGGAGCAAACAGGAUUAGAAACCCCGGUAGUCCC
This 471-nucleotide ribosomal RNA is filed under the name uncultured organism. RNAcentral describes it as "partial 16S ribosomal RNA". It matches the Rfam family "Bacterial small subunit ribosomal RNA", at positions 334 to 797 of the family's 1533-position model. The record is from RNAcentral.